GGGUUCAAUGCACAUUUGAACUUCGUCGUCACCUUACAAUACUCUCAUCAUCCAGGAGAUUUAUAUACCUUCUUUCUGUUUCUGGAAAUAAGUGCAACACUUCUUUUUCCAACUUUGUUAAUACAACAGAGGUAUGGAACGCAUUUUUAAAUAAAUAUGCCUGGACAUAAACUGUAAGUAUUGCAUAAUUCUUAAUAAUGACUAUAUUGAUCCUAUCUAUAUUCAGGGUAUGGAAGAUUUUGCUUAUGAUGCAUAUAAUCAAAAACUAGUUGACAAAGUGGCCAUUGCUUUAUGAUCAUUCUCCUUCCAAAAGGAGAGGUGUAUAUCAUACUAAUUUAUUUUUAAUUUUUUAUGCUGCCCACCCAAAAUGAAGUUUUUCUGAUGGUGGUUUAAAACAGAUAGUAGUCAGGCAUGCUGACACAGAUGUGCUGAAGAAGGCAUAUCUGUAUAUUCCAACAAGAGAUUUUUCUAGGGUCAAGGGCUCCAUAUACCAGAAAUUCUGAACUCUUAUUGCAGCAUCUGUUCUCCAGCUAUAUACAGCUGUGUGAGAUUUGCUAAUGCUGUUAAAAAAACUCCCUUUUCUUGGAAGCACAAGCCACAAUUAGUUUGUCUCACCGGGUAUGAGGUUGAGCUGAUCUUAAACUUAUUAAAAACAUUUCUGCCAACAAGCAGCACUUUAUUUUCAGUUUCAGAAGAAAGAAGCAUUUGGCUUUGUAGAAGAGUUUAUCUGCUCUCUUCUCUCUUGGUCACUGCAUUUUCUUGCUGCACUGUAGUCUGGCAUUUGCUAGCUACCUCUUCGAAAAUAAACUAUAUACAAAGCUUUCUCAUCCAGUAGCUGUUGGACGGUUGCAGCUAGUUUCAUUUUUCUUGGCAAGGGUGCAGAGCAAAGUUAACCAGAAAUUCUCUGGAAAGCAAUUUGGAAAGCUGCAACUCUUCGGCUUUUUGUUUGCUUUAAAAGGUUUUCUUUUAGGAUGAAGGCUGAUUUUGGAAAGCUAAGUUAGAUUGACCUGGCUAGUGUUUGGAUGAGAGACCUACAGUAAAUGUUAACUAUAAUGCUUUUCACGAAGAAUCUUGUGAGUUGUAAUUCAGAAAUGGGUGAAAGUUCCCUUCCAGAGUGUUUUUAGCUGCUUCUUGCAGUCCUGCAUUGUGGAAGUGCUAUUUAAAAGUCUAUAAUAUGAUUUUUUUUCCCCCUAUUGUAGGAAGAAAUAUCCUUCUGGGUUCAGCUCCAAGUGGGGAAAAAGACACUGGAAACAUGGAGACUGCUUGGAAAGAUGGUUUAAUGGUGGACAGGAUCAUAUGGUUUGAGUUCCUGAACAGAAAAGGGGUGCUGCACGAUCCUUUGGAAAUGAGCCUUGUGGCCUUUACUCGGGGAAGUUAGCUUCACUGAACUCAACAGGACCAACUUCCAGGGAAGACCAACCAGAUGUCUCUGGGCUAUUAUUGGAAGUUGCCGCAAUCAUGUUUAGUCUUCAAGGCUGAUAGACCUGCUCUCCAUGAAAUUCUUCAAUCACCCUUUAAAACUAUCCAAGUAAAUGGCCAAUGCCAUGU
Long non-coding RNA from Pantherophis guttatus, 1548 nucleotides. RefSeq lists it as uncharacterized. The record is from RefSeq and is a predicted model, not a curated record. Lineage: Eukaryota; Metazoa; Chordata; Lepidosauria; Squamata; Colubridae.